Molecule: ribosomal RNA, 253 nt
Filed under: uncultured bacterium
Lineage: Bacteria
Description: partial 16S ribosomal RNA
Rfam family: Bacterial small subunit ribosomal RNA
Source: RNAcentral
UACGGGGGGGGUAAGCGUUGUUCGGAAUUACUGGGCGUAAAGGGCUCGUAGGCGGCCAACUAAGUCAUACGUGAAAUCCCUCAGCUUAACUGGGGAACUGCGUGUGAUACUGGAUGGCUUGGAUUUGGGAGAGGGAUGCGGAAUUCCAGGUGUAGCGGUGAAAUGCGUAGAUAUCUGGAGGAACACCGGUGGCGAAGGCGGCAUCCUGGACCAAUGUUGACGCUGAGGAGCGAAAGCCAGGGGAGCAAACGGG